This 450-nucleotide ribosomal RNA is filed under the name uncultured bacterium. Its description in RNAcentral is "bacterial SSU rRNA". It matches the Rfam family "Bacterial small subunit ribosomal RNA", at positions 355 to 825 of the family's 1533-position model. The record is from RNAcentral.
UCAAGAAACUUCCACAAUGGGCGAAAGCCUGAUGGAGCGACGUCGCGUGAUGGACGAAGUGCUUCGGCACGUAAACAUCUUUUAUGUGGGAUGAAAUUAUUGACAGUACCACAUGAAUAAGGGGCUCCUAACUCUGUGCCAGCAGGAGCGGUAAUACAGAGGCCCCAAGCGUUAUCCGGAAUCACUGGGCGUAAAGGGUGUCGAGGCGGUUGUAUUAGUCGUUCGUAAAAUCUACGAGCUUAACUUGUAGGCGGCGAACGAAACGGUACGACUUGAGGUUUGGAGAGGUGCGUGGAACUCACGGUGUAGGGGUGAAAUCCGUUGAUAUCGUGGGGAACACCAAAGGCGAAGGCAGCCCCCUGGGUUAAUACUGACGCUCAUGCACGAAAGCGUGGGGAGCAAACAGGAUUAGAUACCCACGUAGUCCCUGAGCGGGCUGGCAAGGCGCAU